GAGAUUUGAGGGCAAGAUGGCCGUUGGUUUGAACUCAAAGCUUUCAUCUUCUCUUCGCCAAGUCUUUCCCUUGGCUGGACAUCUUGGGAAAUAUCUGACAAACAUGCGGUCUGAGAAGUACUGCCCAUCACCAGAGGAAGCUAUAACAAAGGCUCAUUUGGAUGUGCCAGCCGUCUGUGUGGUUACCGCCUGCCAGCAAAUCGAUGCCUCUCUUGAGUCAGAGGAGUCACCCUGUUCUGGCCAAGGCACUGCUGCUCUGAUGCCCACAGCAUGUCUGUAUUUGGAUAGAAACUGAAAUGAAAACAAGACCUCGGAGAACCUCACAGAGGGCAAGAGCUCAAUUUAGGGAUGUGAAAGUCAUUUUACAUCACACAGAGGAAAGGAGUAAUCUGGGAGACUGAGAAAAAGGCGGAGGAGGGAUGAGAAGGCAGCAGCACAGGCAGCAGAUGGACAAAUAGAGUGACACAGUGAGACAGCACGGGUGAGAGAGCAGCAGACAGAGAAAGGGCCUCCUCCAGGAUAAAGAAACGUGGACACUUCUCAGCCAGCAUUGACAGCUGAGGUAAACAGCAACGGACUGACAUUCAUAAAUGGACAGGAGCCAGAGUUGUUUGUCCUACAGUGGCCUACAGCGGAAUAAAGCUGAUCAUUUU
Molecule: long non-coding RNA, 653 nt
Organism: Haplochromis burtoni (Burton's mouthbrooder)
Lineage: Eukaryota; Metazoa; Chordata; Actinopteri; Cichliformes; Cichlidae
Exons: 6
Source: RefSeq, a predicted model, not a curated record